GACGUAGGGCGCAAGCGUUGUCCGGAAUUAUUGGGCGUAAAGAGCUCGUAGGCGGCUUGUCGCGUCGGAUGUGAAAGCCCGGGGCUUAACUUCGGGUCUGCAUUCGAUACGGGCAGGCUAGAGUUCGGUAGGGGAGACUGGAAUUCCUGGUGUAGCGGUGAAAUGCGCAGAUAUCAGGAGGAACACCGGUGGCGAAGGCGGGUCUCUGGGCCGAUACUGACGCUGAGGAGCGAAAGCGUGGGGAGCAAACAGG
Molecule: ribosomal RNA, 253 nt
Filed under: uncultured bacterium
Lineage: Bacteria
Description: partial 16S ribosomal RNA
Rfam family: Bacterial small subunit ribosomal RNA
Source: RNAcentral